AAAAAAGAUAGGAUGGGAAUCAAUAAAAAAAGAUAGGAUGGGAAUCAAUAAAAAAAGAUAGGAUGGGAAUCAAUAAAAAAAAAGACAGGAUGGGAAUCAAUAAAACAAGAUAGGAUGGGAAUCAAUAAAAAAAGAUAGGAUGGGAAUCAAUAAAAAAAGAUAGGAUGGGAAUCAAUAAAACAAGAUAGGAUGGGAAUCAAUAAAAAUAGAUAGGAUGGGAAUCAAUAAAAAAAGAUAGGAUGGGAAUCAAUAAAACAAGAUAGGAUGGGAAUCAAUAAAAAAGAUAGGAUGGGAAUCAAUAAAAAAAGAUAGGAUGGGAAUCAAUAAAACAAGAUAGGAUGG
This 342-nucleotide long non-coding RNA is filed under the name Mytilus galloprovincialis (Mediterranean mussel). The record is from RNAcentral. Lineage: Eukaryota; Metazoa; Mollusca; Bivalvia; Mytilida; Mytilidae.